RNAcentral lists this long non-coding RNA (803 nucleotides) under Nicotiana benthamiana. Its description in RNAcentral is "long non-coding RNA (NBEN_LNC024026)". Lineage: Eukaryota; Viridiplantae; Streptophyta; Magnoliopsida; Solanales; Solanaceae. The record is from RNAcentral.
UUUAUUCGAACAAAGCUUGCAAUUUUGAUUUUUGAUUGAUUCUGUUUCCUUAAUUCUUACAAACUGUGUGUUUCAAAAAUGUUUCCUUAAAUAACUUUAUGUAUUCACCCUUAUUUGUAUACUAUGCACACGUUGUUUACUUGAAUCCCUUUCCUUAAAUAUUUUCUUCCUUUACUCAUCAAAUUAGGAUUCCUUAAUUAAAGGAAUCUCUGUCAGUUGAUUGAUCUUAAUUGCUACUCGACUAAUUUUAUUUCCUUGUUUGCAUGUCUGAUUGCGAGAAUAAAUACAUGUUUUUGUUUUCACUUUAGAACAUCAUCGAAUCCUAACUCCAAAACAAAGUGAAAAUUCACCUCUCUUCUUUACUACUGCUAUUACUACUUUCUAUUUCUACACUUCUCUACACUCUCUACUGAGCAUUUUGCACUCCUUACUGUUUGAACUCCUAGACACCUGGGAGUUUCUUGAGUUCGUUCCUGUUUAUUCCUGGUUUUCUGUUUGUUGCUAUUAGUCUGCUAUCCUAGAAUUAUAACUGGUAUGCCCUUCUAUGCUCUAUGAGCAUCCUUAUUCAAUUUCUCUGCUUCUACCCCUUUCUUUGUAUGCUUUCAUGUACUAUUUACCUACUUUCAAGCAUGCUAAUCCCUUUCCCCUGUUCGCUUUGUAUGUAAGUUUGUUCUAGGUCAUAACAACAUUAUCAACUGUUGUAUGUGAUUCAAGACUAGAUUCUUUUGAGUCUCUACUCGUUGCUUUCCCAUUCCCUUUCCCCUCAUUGUGCUGAGCUCUAUUUUGGUCCCUGAUCAUCAUUC